GGGGCCGUGGUCUAGCUUGGCAGGAUGAGGGCUUCGGGAGCCCUUGGCCAGGGUUCAAAUCCCUGCGGCCCCACCA
This 76-nucleotide transfer RNA is filed under the name Thermoproteota archaeon. RNAcentral's name for it is "tRNA-Pro". It matches the Rfam family "tRNA". Rfam says of the family: Transfer RNA (tRNA) molecules are approximately 80 nucleotides in length. Their secondary structure includes four short double-helical elements and three loops (D, anti-codon, and T loops). Lineage: Archaea; Thermoproteati; Thermoproteota. The record is from RNAcentral.